GAUGAUGAGGAGGAGACCAUCUCUGUGGAUUCCAGAAGGCAUGAGGACCCAGAUGCUAUACAGUGGGAAAACCAGCCUGGCAACAUAAGCUCACAAGCUAUCAGAAAGUUGUAUGGCAACCACCUCCGGCGCCAAAUAGAACUGGCAGACAUAGACAUUCAGUACAAGAAGAAAAAGAUAGAAAAUCUUGCACUGGAGUCCGAAAUAAAAAAAGAGGACAAUUAGGAAACUGGACCUUGAAAUAAAAAAACUUGAGAGGGAGCUCCAAGAAGAUGACACAGCUCAAAAUAAAAAUUAGCAAUCAGUACAACCAAGUCAUCGUUAUAAGGCACCGGCCUCUUUUGCCCACCCCCCCAGCAGCAAUGUUGUGGCAAAAUGGCCUGGCUCAGUCCAUGACUCCAGAAUCUUUCGGGCCUCUGAAAUCUAUCAGUGCCUAUCACAAGGUGAAUUCUCUGGUGUGUUGCUGGGAGACAGGGGGUAUGGCUGCCAGCCUUUUCUCCUGACACCUUUCACAGACCCCCAGGAAGCACAGCAGGCCUACAACCAUGCCCAUGCCAGGACCAGGGCCAGAGUUGAAAUGACCUUUGGCCUCCUGAAGGCACGCUUUCACUGCCUUCACAAAUUAAGGGUCAACCCUGUUAGGGCAUGUGAUAUUACUGUGGCUUGUGCUGUCCUCCACAAUGUGGCCUGCCUGAGGAAGGAGAGGGCCCCCAGAGUGCCACCAGCCAUGGACUGGGACAAUCCGGCAAUCUUCCCUGAUGACGACAGUGGUCGGCUGCUGAGGGACCAAUAUGUGUUGAAUUAUUUUAGUUAGUAUGUGUGCUUUCAAUUUAGGUAAAAAAUGUCCUGCUGUGGCAGAGGAAAUAGGGUUUUUUUGGGUUGUUUUUUUUUUUACGAAUUUGGCCUCUUAUGAUGUUUGUGCGGUAUACUGUGUGUAAUACAAGGCUGCAGGGAGGCUACUGCAUCCAUUCAUUUGUCUGUUCAGUUGAUGUGUAUGGAUUUGUCCUGCAUUUAUUUUAGUGUGCAGACAUGCAGCGUGUGUUAUAUACAGACCUUUGAAUGUGUAUGUAUCAUUUUGUAUAAUAUGCUUUGAUUCUGUGCUUUCCAUCUUGUAGAGUCACUGUGACUUCAGUUUCGAAAGGAGC
This is a long non-coding RNA of Cyprinus carpio (common carp), 1145 nucleotides long. RefSeq lists it as uncharacterized. The record is from RefSeq and is a predicted model, not a curated record. NCBI's taxonomy places the organism in Eukaryota, Metazoa, Chordata, Actinopteri, Cypriniformes, Cyprinidae. The transcript has 6 exons.